RNAcentral lists this ribosomal RNA (732 nucleotides) under uncultured Gammaproteobacteria bacterium. RNAcentral's name for it is "bacterial SSU rRNA". It matches the Rfam family "Bacterial small subunit ribosomal RNA", at positions 28 to 755 of the family's 1533-position model. Lineage: Bacteria; Pseudomonadati; Pseudomonadota; Gammaproteobacteria. The record is from RNAcentral.
AUUGAACGCUGGCGGCAGGCCUAACACAUGCAAGUCGAGCGGUAGAGAGAAGCUUGCUUCUCUUGAGAGCGGCGGACGGGUGAGUAAUGCCUAGGAAUCUGCCUGGUAGUGGGGGAUAACGUUCGGAAACGGACGCUAAUACCGCAUACGUCCUACGGGAGAAAGCAGGGGACCUUCGGGCCUUGCGCUAUCAGAUGAGCCUAGGUCGGAUUAGCUAGUUGGUGAGGUAAUGGCUCACCAAGGCGACGAUCCGUAACUGGUCUGAGAGGAUGAUCAGUCACACUGGAACUGAGACACGGCCCAGACUCCUACGGGAGGCAGCAGUGGGGAAUAUUGGACAAUGGGCGAAAGCCUGAUCCAGCCAUGCCGCGUGUGUGAAGAAGGUCUUCGGAUUGUAAAGCACUUUAAGUUGGGAGGAAGGGCAGUUACCUAAUACGUGAUUGUUUUGACGUUACCGACAGAAUAAGCACCGGCUAACUCUGUGCCAGCAGCCGCGGUAAUACAGAGGGUGCAAGCGUUAAUCGGAAUUACUGGGCGUAAAGCGCGCGUAGGUGGUUAGUUAAGUUGGAUGUGAAAUCCCCGGGCUCAACCUGGGAACUGCAUUCAAAACUGACUGACUAGAGUAUGGUAGAGGGUGGUGGAAUUUCCUGUGUAGCGGUGAAAUGCGUAGAUAUAGGAAGGAACACCAGUGGCGAAGGCGACCACCUGGACUGAUACUGACACUGAGGUGCG